Molecule: non-coding RNA, 243 nt
Filed under: Aerococcus viridans
Lineage: Bacteria; Bacillati; Bacillota; Bacilli; Lactobacillales; Aerococcaceae
Description: T-box sequence
Rfam family: T-box leader
About the family: Uncharged tRNA acts as the effector for transcription antitermination of genes in the T-box leader family. T-boxes are found upstream of many aminoacyl-tRNA synthetase genes and some amino acid biosynthetic genes usually in Gram-positive bacteria.
Source: RNAcentral
AGAAAAGUAUCGAUUGUGAAUAGUAAUAUAGGCUGAUUUCUAGAGAGCUUGCGGUAGGUGAAAGCAGGUAAUUAAGCGAUAUGAAUCCACACAAUCACUGACUACGAAUAUGAGGAUUUAAUCCUAAUUAAGUAGAGCCGGGUUAGCCGUUAUCUAAUGAGCGUAAGACAUGGUAUUUCUGUGUCUUAAAGUAGGGUGGCACCGCGCAAUAAUAUAUGAGCUUCAAGCUAUUUCGUCCCUUCC